GUGGGGAAUAUUGGACAAUGGGCGAAAGCCUGAUCCAGCCAUGCCGCGUGAGUGAUGAAGGCCCUAGGGUUGUAAAGCUCUUUCACCGGGGAAGAUAAUGACGGUACCCGGAGAAGAAGCCCCGGCUAACUUCGUGCCAGCAGCCGCGGUAAUACGAAGGGGGCUAGCGUUGUUCGGAAUUACUGGGCGUAAAGCGCACGUAGGCGGAUCAGUCAGUUAGGGGUGAAAUCCCAGGGCUCAACCCUGGAACUGCCUUUAAUACUGCUGAUCUAGAGUUCGAGAGAGGUGAGUGGAAUUCCGAGUGUAGAGGUGAAAUUCGUAGAUAUUCGGAGGAACACCAGUGGCGAAGGCGGCUCACUGGCUCGAUACUGACGCUGAGGUGCGAAAGCGUGGGGAGCAAACAGGAUUAGAUACCCCGGUAGUCC
This 425-nucleotide ribosomal RNA is filed under the name uncultured bacterium. Its description in RNAcentral is "partial 16S ribosomal RNA". It matches the Rfam family "Bacterial small subunit ribosomal RNA", at positions 354 to 796 of the family's 1533-position model. The record is from RNAcentral.